RNAcentral lists this long non-coding RNA (856 nucleotides) under Capra hircus (goat). RNAcentral's name for it is "lncRNA (ENSCHIG00010020113.1)". The record is from RNAcentral. Lineage: Eukaryota; Metazoa; Chordata; Mammalia; Artiodactyla; Bovidae.
UAAAAAGUAAAACAAAUGAACAAAUGUAAUAAGACAGAAACUGACGCAUAGAUACAGAGAACAAAUAGGUGUUUGCCAGAGAGGAGGAAAUGAGUAAAAUAGGUGAGGGAGAUUAAGAGGUACAGACUAUCAAUUACAAAAUAAAUGAAGGACAGAGAUGAAAUGUACAACAUGAGGAAUAUAUCAGUAAUAUUGUAAUAAUUUUGUAUGGUAAGUAGACUUAAGGUGACCAAUUUGUAAUAAUAACAACAACCUCCUAUGUUGUGCGCUUGGAAUCAAAAUAACGUAGGUCAAUUACAUUUCAAUCAAAAAUAAGAUUUCUUAGCAUACUCAUACUUGUGUAAGGAUAAUGUGAUAAUAGCAUACAUUUCAUUUAGUAUACUAAAAGACAAGCCAUAGCUAAUAUAUAUACCAUUGGUGUAAGUGUGAAAAAUUCCAUAAGACACAAUUAAUGAUGUCACAGAGCUGUAUAUACAGAUAGUUAUCGAAUGAUCCAGGUAGAUGACAUCAGUACUAUGAGUUAAGUGAAGGAUGGCACAGCCUGGUUGGUUGGUGGGGGUGGAACUGUAUCUAAGCCCUGAAGAACUGAGUUUGGAUUGACAAGGAGGAGGUAAGCAGAGUAGUUGGGCCCUGAGGAGCAAUGAAAGUGAUUACAGGGACCCUGGGUAAGGCAGUAUGAGGGGGGUGGGGGUGGAUAAGGAGUUGACAGGAAAUAGAAACCACGUUAUGGAGCAGGCACAUUCGAGGCUCUGAAGGGCAGUCUGCAUUUAGGGAGUGACAAGAGCCCACUGAAAGUUUCUGAACAGCAGUGUGACACAAUGUGCUGUGUUAGAAAAGUGAGUAUGUCCUAUAGCAU